Molecule: long non-coding RNA, 542 nt
Organism: Cornus florida
Lineage: Eukaryota; Viridiplantae; Streptophyta; Magnoliopsida; Cornales; Cornaceae
Exons: 3
Source: RefSeq, a predicted model, not a curated record
UAAUGCAAGAGCACCUAGUGAGUGGAGAAGCCCACCAAUUUAGCUUAGGGUUUACUCAUUUUAAUUCAAUCAUCACUUUCCUCUCAAGAACCCUAAGGAAGCCACCAUUGGAGAAAAGCUUGACUAGUAGCUUUGACUUCAUUUUUGGUGCCCUUUCACUCACCUUCGAACUUUGAACUUGGAAUACUUUUUGUUCCCCUCAUCCUCCUCUUCAAAACCCUUGAAGGAUCUAGCCUAACUCCUAGUUUUACUUUGGUAUCUAGAGAUUCAAUUCUCUAGUGAGACCGAAAAUUUGGGGCGAUUUCAUUUCGGUGGUAAUUGGGAUUUUCAUUCCAAUUGAGGUAUGAAGACUUGGUUUGUGAUGCUCAUCAUACUUUGGAUGACUUGUAGCUUUUAAGUUUCCAUUUCAUGCAAAUGUUAGCAUAAAAUGUCAUUUUGUAGCCUUAUAUAUCUAAACUUGUAUCUUUGAUUCCAUAUAUGUAAUGUGUACAUAAGUACACCUUUUACGAUGUAUUCGACUUGUGUGAGGUGAGGCCAAAGGC